GAUGGAGGUAAGAAAUGACAUUGAUGUCUAUUUGUAGUCUCUUAUUGUCAAGCUGAAACAGUUGUGGAUUUAGGAUGUUCCAACUUUUGAUGCUUUGAUGAAUGAGUUAUUUUCUAUGCAUGCGGCGCUUAUGUGAACAAUAAACGACUUUCCAGCUUAUGCCCUAAUGUCAGGUUGGAGCACGAAAGGUGAGCUAGCGUGCCUAGUUUGUGAAAGACAC
RNAcentral lists this long non-coding RNA (220 nucleotides) under Elaeis guineensis (African oil palm). Its description in RNAcentral is "long non-coding RNA (EGUI_LNC061388)". The record is from RNAcentral. Lineage: Eukaryota; Viridiplantae; Streptophyta; Magnoliopsida; Arecales; Arecaceae.